Molecule: transfer RNA, 86 nt
Filed under: Dehalococcoidia bacterium
Lineage: Bacteria; Bacillati; Chloroflexota; Dehalococcoidia
Also listed under: 2 other names
Description: tRNA-Tyr
Rfam family: tRNA
About the family: Transfer RNA (tRNA) molecules are approximately 80 nucleotides in length. Their secondary structure includes four short double-helical elements and three loops (D, anti-codon, and T loops). Further hydrogen bonds mediate the characteristic L-shaped molecular structure. tRNAs have two regions of fundamental functional importance: the anti-codon, which is responsible for specific mRNA codon recognition, and the 3' end, to which the tRNAs corresponding amino acid is attached (by aminoacyl-tRNA synthetases). tRNAs cope with the degeneracy of the genetic code in two manners: having more than one tRNA (with a specific anti-codon) for a particular amino acid; and 'wobble' base-pairing, i.e. permitting non-standard base-pairing at the 3rd anti-codon position.
Source: RNAcentral
GGCGGGGUGGGUGAGUGGCUAAAACCAGCAGACUGUAAAUCUGCCGCCGACAGGCUUCGUUGGUUCGAAUCCAACCCCCGCCACCA